CCUACGGGAGGCAGCAGUGGGGAAUAUUGCACAAUGGGGGAAACCCUGAUGCAGCGACGCCGCGUGAGCGAUGAAGUAUUUCGGUAUGUAAAGCUCUAUCAGCAGGGAAGAAAAUGACGGUACCUGACUAAUAAGCCCCGGCUAACUACGUGCCAGCAGCCGCGGUAAUACGUAGGGGGCAAGCGUUAUCCGGAUUGACUGGGUGUAAAGGGAGCGUAGGCGGCGGUGCAAGCCAGAUGUGAAAGCCCGGGGCUCAACCCCAGGACUGCAUUUGGAACUGUGCUGCUAGAGUGUCGGAGAGGCAGGCGGAAUUCCUGGUGUAGCGGUGAAAUGCGUAGAGAUUAGGAGGAACACUAGUUGCGAAGGCGGCCUGCUGGACGAUGACUGACGUUGAGGCGCGAAAGCGUGGGGAGCAAACAGGAUUAGAUACCCGAGUAGUC
RNAcentral lists this ribosomal RNA (440 nucleotides) under uncultured bacterium. RNAcentral's name for it is "partial 16S ribosomal RNA". It matches the Rfam family "Bacterial small subunit ribosomal RNA", at positions 338 to 795 of the family's 1533-position model. The record is from RNAcentral.